RNAcentral lists this ribosomal RNA (253 nucleotides) under uncultured bacterium. RNAcentral's name for it is "partial 16S ribosomal RNA". It matches the Rfam family "Bacterial small subunit ribosomal RNA", at positions 524 to 776 of the family's 1533-position model. The record is from RNAcentral.
UACGUAGGGUGCGAGCGUUAAUCGGAAUUACUGGGCGUAAAGCGUACGCAGGCGGCUGCGCAAGACAGAUGUGAAAUCCCCGGGCCUAACCUGGGAACUGCAUUUGUGACUGCGCAGCUCGAGUCCGUCAGAGGGGGGUGGAAUUCCACGUGUAGCAGUGAAAUGCGUAGAGAUGUGGAGGAACACCGAUGGCGAAGGCAGCCCCCUGGGAUGAGACUGACGCUCAGGUACGAAAGCGUGGGGAGCAAACAGG